AGCGAACGCUGGCGGCGUGCUUAACACAUGCAAGUCGAGUGCGUAGCCCUUUGUAGCAAUACAGGGGGUGGGCGCACGGCGCACGGGUGAGUAACACGUGGGUAACCUGCCCUUCGGUGGGGAAUAACCCCGCGAAAGCGGGGCUAAUUCCGCAUAACAUUCCGGGGACACAUGUUCUCGGACUCAAAGGAGUGAUUCGCCGGAGGAGGGCCCGCGCCCGAUUAGCUUGUUGGUAGGGUAACGGCCACCAAGGCUUUGAUCGGUAGCCGGUCUGAGAGGAUGGCCGGCCACACUGGAACUGAGACACGGUCCAGACUCCUACGGGAGGCAGCAGUGGGGAAUUUUGGACAAUGGGGCAACCCUGAUCCAGCCAUUCCGCGUGAG
RNAcentral lists this ribosomal RNA (384 nucleotides) under uncultured bacterium. RNAcentral's name for it is "bacterial SSU rRNA". It matches the Rfam family "Bacterial small subunit ribosomal RNA", at positions 29 to 405 of the family's 1533-position model. The record is from RNAcentral.